AACGAACGCUGGCGGCAUGCCUAACACAUGCAAGUCGAACGAGACCUUCGGGUCUAGUGGCGCACGGGUUCGUAACGCGUGGGAACCUGCCUUUAGGUUCGGAAUAACUCAGAGAAAUUUGAGCUAAUACCGGAUGAUGUCUUCGGACCAAAGAUUUAUCGCCUUUAGAUGGGCCCGCGUUGGAUUAGCUAGUUGGUGGGGUAAAGGCCUACCAAGGCGACGAUCCAUAGCUGGUCUGAGAGGAUGAUCAGCCACACUGGGACUGAGACACGGCCCAGACUCCUACGGGAGGCAGCAGUGGGGAAUGUUGGACAAUGGGCGAAAGCCUGAUCCAGCAAUGCCGCGUGAGUGAUGAAGGCCUUAGGGUUGUAAAGCUCUUUUACCCGAGAUGAUAAUGACAGUAUCGGGAGAAUAAGCUCCGGCUAACUCCGUG
This 433-nucleotide ribosomal RNA is filed under the name uncultured bacterium. RNAcentral describes it as "partial 16S ribosomal RNA". It matches the Rfam family "Bacterial small subunit ribosomal RNA", at positions 29 to 507 of the family's 1533-position model. The record is from RNAcentral.